RNAcentral lists this ribosomal RNA (477 nucleotides) under uncultured bacterium. RNAcentral describes it as "partial 16S ribosomal RNA". It matches the Rfam family "Bacterial small subunit ribosomal RNA", at positions 28 to 506 of the family's 1533-position model. The record is from RNAcentral.
GAUUAACGCUGGCGGCGUGCAUAACACAUGCAAGUCGAACGAUGAAACUCAUUAGAUUUCUUCGGAAUGAAAAUGAAUGGCUUAGUGGCGAACGGGUGAGUAACGCGUGAGUAACCUGCCUUACACAAGGGGAUAGCCUCUGGAAACGGAGAAUAAUACCCUAUGAAACCAGACAAUCGCAUGAUAAUCUGGUCAAAAUGUUUAGUGGUGUAAGAUGGACUUGCGUCUGAUUAGCUAGUUGGUGAGAUAAAAGCUCACCAAGGCAACGAUCAGUAGCCGGCUUGAGAGAGUGUACGGCCACAUUGGGAAUGAGACACGGCCCAGACUCCUACGGGAGGCAGCAGUGGGGAAUUUUGCACAAUGGGGGAAACCCUGAUGCAGCGACGCCGCGUGAUUUAGAAGGCCUUCGGGUUGUAAAAAUCUUUUGUAUAGGAAGAAAAUGACAGUACUAUACGAAUAAGGUCCGGCUAAUUACGU